GUCCUAGCCGUAAACGAUGGGCACUGGGUAGGGGAGGCGCCUAUGGCCUUCUCUGCCGGAGCUAAUGUAUUAAGUGCCCCGCCUGGGGAGUACGCUCGCAAGAGUAAAACUCAAAGGAAUUGACGGGGGCUCACACAAGCGGUGGAGCAUGUGGUUUAAUUCGAAGCAACGCGAAGAACCUUACCUGGCCUUGACAUGCACGGAUUAGCCCUGUGAAAGCAGGGUGACAGCUCUUCGGAGCCGGAACGUGCGCAGGUGUUGCAUGGCUGUCGU
RNAcentral lists this ribosomal RNA (273 nucleotides) under uncultured bacterium. RNAcentral describes it as "partial 16S ribosomal RNA". It matches the Rfam family "Bacterial small subunit ribosomal RNA", at positions 793 to 1055 of the family's 1533-position model. The record is from RNAcentral.